GGAGGGGGCUAGCGUUGUUCGGAAUUAUUGGGCGUAAAGGGCGCGUAGGCGGCUUGAUAAGUCAGUUGUGAAAUCCCUCGGCUCAACCGGGGAACUGCAAACGAUACUGUCAGGCUUGAGUCCCGGAGAGGGUAGUGGAAUUCCCAGUGUAGCGGUGAAAUGCGUAGAUAUUGGGAGGAACACCAGUGGCGAAGGCGACUACCUGGACGGGUACUGACGCUGAGGCGCGAAAGCAUGGGGAGCAAACAGGAUUAGAUACCCUGGUAGUCCAUGCUGUAAACGAUGAGCACUUGGUGCUGCGGGUAUCGACCCCCCCCCUGCAGUGCCGAAGCUAACGCAUUAAGUGCUCCGCCUGGGGAGUACGGUCGCAAGGCUG
Molecule: ribosomal RNA, 376 nt
Filed under: uncultured organism
Description: partial 16S ribosomal RNA
Rfam family: Bacterial small subunit ribosomal RNA
Source: RNAcentral